GAAUCGCUAGUAAUCGCGGAUCAGCAUGCCGCGGUGAAUACGUUCCCGGGUCUUGUACACACCGCCCGUCAAACAAUGGGAGUGGUGUUUACCAGAAGUCGUUAGCCUAACCGCAAGGAGGGCGGCGACCACGGUGAGCACCGUGACUAAUGUUAAGUCGUAACAAGGUAAC
This 172-nucleotide ribosomal RNA is filed under the name uncultured bacterium. Its description in RNAcentral is "partial 16S ribosomal RNA". It matches the Rfam family "Bacterial small subunit ribosomal RNA", at positions 1329 to 1500 of the family's 1533-position model. The record is from RNAcentral.